UACGUAGGGUCCGAGCGUUGUCCGGAUUUAUUGGGCGUAAAGAGCUCGUAGGCGGUUUGUCGCGUCUGCUGUGAAAACCUAAGGCUCAACCUUGGGCUUGCAGUGGGUACGGGCAGACUAGAGUGCGGUAGGGGUGACUGGAAUUCCUGGUGUAGCGGUGGAAUGCGCAGAUAUCAGGAGGAACACCGAUGGCGAAGGCAGGUCACUGGGCCGCAACUGACGCUGAGGAGCGAAAGCAUGGGGAGCGAACAGG
Molecule: ribosomal RNA, 253 nt
Filed under: uncultured bacterium
Lineage: Bacteria
Description: partial 16S ribosomal RNA
Rfam family: Bacterial small subunit ribosomal RNA
Source: RNAcentral